This 381-nucleotide ribosomal RNA is filed under the name Triticum aestivum (bread wheat). RNAcentral describes it as "partial small subunit ribosomal RNA". Lineage: Eukaryota; Viridiplantae; Streptophyta; Magnoliopsida; Poales; Poaceae. The record is from RNAcentral.
AUGACAUGGGUUGGUAAUGGUUAUAGGGAUUCCACUGCACAUUGUCAUCUCGUCAUUUCGUCAAAGCAGCUGUGCCUCUGCACCAUGAAGGUGAAGGGUGAUAAUCUUCUCAUAAUAGCAUGGAGUCAACGACCGAUCAUGCGAGCAAAAGCGCUUUUGCCGACAGAUUAUCUGAAAGGAGAUGUGCUUUCCGAUCUCCAAACUGAAAAAGGCGUCCAGUCCCAGCUGAUUGGGUGCCUCAUAUGCAAAGAUAAGUGCUGCUGUCGACGUUCUGCAUGGGGGAAGGUGUGGCUGAUUUGCUCGAGCACAUGGUUAGCCAUGCAAAUUUACAUCUUACGUGCCAUUGCAGCUAGGUUAGUCGUUGUCCAUUCAAUCUAUUAA